This is a non-coding RNA of Pelodiscus sinensis (Chinese soft-shelled turtle), 1539 nucleotides long. The record is from RefSeq and is a predicted model, not a curated record. NCBI's taxonomy places the organism in Eukaryota, Metazoa, Chordata, Testudines, Trionychidae.
AAGGAAUUCAAUAUUCAUAAAGAAUUGUAGCAGGGGCUCACAGAUCUGUACAACCUCAAGGCAGGAAGAAUUCUCUGUUCUAGCCCUCCGCAAUAUCAGGUAACCAGGUCCAACUGCUGACAGCCCCACCUCCAAUCCAUAUCCUGGAAAGCAAACACUGGAAUGGGUAACCUGAAGUGCAUCGGACACAUCAUCACAAUGUUCAACUGAUGAGAUCAGUAGCAACAACAGAAUGUUACCCACCGUUGUUAUCAAGGAUUUCAUGGCAAGACAACAGGCUCUUAAAUGCUGAAUGUCUGGGAGACACAAUUCAUAUCUUCAUAGCCUUAAGCUACUGCAGAGGAGAGUCACUGACAAGAAGCGAGGCCAGCUUACACUACUCAUAAAUCUAAUUCUAGUCCCAAAACACAGUAUGACCUUAUUGCUGCAGCCGAUGAAAUGUUAAGUGUUAUCUAAUAAUCUACCAAGCAGCCCGAGACAGCCUUCUCUCCCGGCACUCCUUACAGAAGGCUCAUUGGGACCCUAUCCUCAUUCCUCUGCAUCUGUUUUGAGGACAUAGCUGGAUGAAAGCAGGAGAUGCUACGGCCUUCCAAGCAAAAUAAUCGAAGAGAUGCUCAGAUACCCCAUGCCACACUGCAACCAGUGCAGUUCUCUUGUGGGAGGAAGAGGGACAAGAUAUGAGCAACUGGACCCAAAUUCUACAGCCUAUAUCAUAGAGGCCUUCGAAAUGAGCCUGUGGAGGGAGAUGUAGCAGUAGCUGAGGUGGGAACAGGUGGACAUGCAAGAGAGCUGCCACAAAAGGGAAGGGAUCAACCUAACUGGAGGUCAGUAAAGCACUGAGGGUGCAGUAGCAGACAUGGAGAGACUGCUGCAGUUCAGAGGCAUAGGGAAAAGUGGAUUCAUUGCACUAAGCCUCAUUACCCUAAGAUGAAAGGAAAAGCAAAACAUUAAGUGGUAAAAGUAUUUUUUCUUGCCUUCAGAUAUAUCCUAGUGUGAAAGUCUCAAUUCUGACAUCUCCCAUUCCAAGCCCUUUAACCUUCAUUGCAUAUAUGCAUGUUAACACACGGCUCACAACUUCUUUAGAAAGCUCUAAUAUCUUUAAAGAUACAAGGUUGAACUUUGAAUUUUUCCUGAUGUUCUGCUACUUGCAAGUACUGUAACAAAUAACUAUUUAAGUUCUUCAGUAGUUUGUUUCCCAGAGGGCAAUAUGGCAUCAUUUUCCUUACAGUGUUUACGAUGCAAAUGUUUGGCUCAAUUGUGUGGAAGCAUAUUCAAAAACAUUACACAGUCAAAGUGCCUGAAGCCAGCAAGUACCUAAGAUGCACACUCCACCGAAUUUUGCUGAAAAGAUGACCAAGAUCACUGUGGUGGUUACACAGCACAUUUCAGGAGAAGUCAGUGUUAGAAACUUAGUCCCUACUUCCACAAGUAAAAUAGCAAAAUUUCUUUAUAUUUCAAGCAUCUCAGCAGCCCAAUCUAUACACAGAUAGGACCAGAAUCUAGGCCAUUUGGAUGCCUCUGAGUUCUUUGCUCAAAGUC